RNAcentral lists this ribosomal RNA (254 nucleotides) under uncultured bacterium. Its description in RNAcentral is "partial 16S ribosomal RNA". It matches the Rfam family "Bacterial small subunit ribosomal RNA", at positions 524 to 776 of the family's 1533-position model. The record is from RNAcentral.
UACGGAGGAUCCAAGCGUUAUCCGGAAUCAUUGGGUUUAAAGGGUCCGUAGGCGGUUUAAUAAGUCAGUGGUGAAAGCCCAUCGCUCAACGGUGGAACGGGCCAUUGAUACUGUUAAACUUGAAUUAUUAGGAAGUAACUAGAAUAUGUAGUGUAGCGGUGAAAUGCUUAGAGAUUACAUGGAAUACCAAUUGCGAAGGCAGGUUACUACUAAUGGAUUGACGCUGAUGGACGAAAGCGUGGGUAGCGAACAGG